Molecule: ribosomal RNA, 497 nt
Filed under: uncultured bacterium
Lineage: Bacteria
Description: partial 16S ribosomal RNA
Rfam family: Bacterial small subunit ribosomal RNA
Source: RNAcentral
GAUGAACGCUGGCGGCGUGCCUAAUACAUGCAAGUCGAGCGAACAGACGAGGAGCUUGCUCCUCUGACGUUAGCGGCGGACGGGUGAGUAACACGUGGAUAACCUACCUAUAAGACUGGGAUAACUUCGGGAAACCGGAGCUAAUACCGGAUAAUAUAUUGAACCGCAUGGUUCAAUAGUGAAAGACGGUUUUGCUGUCACUUAUAGAUGGAUCCGCGCCGCAUUAGCUAGUUGGUAAGGUAACGGCUUACCAAGGCAACGAUGCGUAGCCGACCCGAGAGCGUGAACGCACACACUGGAACUGAGACACGGUCCAGACUCCUACAGGAGGCAGCAGUAGGGAAUCUUCCGCAAUGGGCGAAAGCUGGACGGAGCAACGCCGCGUGAGUGAUGAAGGUCUUCGGAUCGUAGAAUUCUGUUAUUAUGAAAGAACAAAUGUGUAAGUAACUAUGCACGUCUUGACGGUACCUAAUCAGAAAGCCACGGCUAACUACGUG